RNAcentral lists this transfer RNA (76 nucleotides) under Rubrobacter sp. RNAcentral describes it as "tRNA-Ser". The record is from RNAcentral. Lineage: Bacteria; Bacillati; Actinomycetota; Rubrobacteria; Rubrobacterales; Rubrobacteraceae.
GGGUGUUGAAAACCCGCGGGGCACGGACUCUUAAUCCGUAGGUUCAGGGUUCGAUUCCCUGGCGACCCACCCGCCA